ACUGAUUCAGACUAGCCAUGCAUGUCUAAGUAUAAAUAACUACACAGUAAAACUGCGAAUGGCUCAUUAAAACAGUUAUAGUUUAUUUGAUAUAUUAUAUGGAUAACUGUAGAAAAACUAGAGCUAAUACAUGCCAUAACCGUAAGGUUGUAUUUAUUAGAUAUUCCUGGUAGGUGAUUCAUAAUAACUUAGCGAAUCGUGACUCGUUCACGAUAAAUCAUUCAAGUUUCUGCCCUAUCAUGCUUUCGAUGGUAGUGUAUUGGACUACCAUGGCUCUCACGGGUAACGGAGAAUUAGGGUUCGAUUCCGGAGAAGGAGCCUGAGAAACGGCUACUACAUCUAAGGAAGGCAGCAGGCGCGUAAAUUACCCAAUCCUGAUUCAGGGAGGUAGCGACAAGAUAUAACAACGUGAAGUCAAAUUCGCGAUUGUAGUGAGGUUAUUCCAAACCGAAAUUCGAGUACGAUUGGAGGAUAAGUCUUGGUGCCAGCACCCGCGGUAA
Molecule: ribosomal RNA, 500 nt
Filed under: uncultured eukaryote
Lineage: Eukaryota
Description: SSU rRNA
Rfam family: Eukaryotic small subunit ribosomal RNA
Source: RNAcentral